RNAcentral lists this ribosomal RNA (460 nucleotides) under uncultured bacterium. RNAcentral describes it as "partial 16S ribosomal RNA". It matches the Rfam family "Bacterial small subunit ribosomal RNA", at positions 338 to 795 of the family's 1533-position model. The record is from RNAcentral.
CCUACGGGAGGCAGCAGUGAGGAAUAUUGGUCAAUGGACGAGAGUCUGAACCAGCCAAGUAGCGUGAAGGAUGACUGCCCUAUGGGUUGUAAACUUCUUUUAUAUGGGAAUAAAAUGUUCCACGUGUGGGAUUUUGUAUGUACCAUAUGAAUAAGGAUCGGCUAACUCCGUGCCAGCAGCCGCGGUAAUACGGAGGAUCCGAGCGUUAACCGGAUUUAUUGGGUUUAAAGGGAGCGUAGGUGGAUUGUUAAGUCAGUUGUGAAAGUUUGCGGCUCAACCGUAAAAUUGCAGUUGAAACUGGCAGUCUGGAGUACAGUAGAGGUGGGCGGAAUUCGUGGUGUAGCGGUGAAAUGCUUAGAUAUCACGAAGAACUCCGAUUGCGAAGGCAGCUCACUGUACUGCAACUGACACUGAGGCUCGAAAGUGUGGGUAUCAAACAGGAUUAGAUACCCGAGUAGUC